GACGAACGCUGGCGGCGCGCCUAACACGUGCAAGUCGAACGGAGUCAAGAGGAGCUUGCUUUUCUUGACUUAGUGGCGAACGGGUGAGUAACGCGUGAGUAACCUGCCCUGGAGUGGGGGACAACAGUUGGAAACGACUGCUAAUACCGCAUAAGCCCACGGAUCCGCAUGGAUCUGCGGGAAAAGGAUUUAUUCGCUUCAGGAUGGACUCGCGUCCAAUUAGCUAGUUGGUGAGGUAACGGCCCACCAAGGCGACGAUUGGUAGCCGGACUGAGAGGUUGAACGGCCACAUUGGGACUGAGACACGGCCCAGACUCCUACGGGAGGCAGCAGUGGGGGAUAUUGCACAAUGGGGGAAACCCUGAUGCAGCGACGCCGCGUGGAGGAAGAAGGUUUUCGGAUUGUAAACUCCUGUCGUUAGGGACGAUAAUGACGGUACCUAACAAGAAAGCACCGGCUAACUACGUG
This 468-nucleotide ribosomal RNA is filed under the name uncultured bacterium. RNAcentral describes it as "partial 16S ribosomal RNA". It matches the Rfam family "Bacterial small subunit ribosomal RNA", at positions 28 to 507 of the family's 1533-position model. The record is from RNAcentral.